This 415-nucleotide ribosomal RNA is filed under the name Escherichia coli. RNAcentral describes it as "bacterial SSU rRNA". It matches the Rfam family "Bacterial small subunit ribosomal RNA", at positions 283 to 690 of the family's 1533-position model. The record is from RNAcentral. Lineage: Bacteria; Pseudomonadati; Pseudomonadota; Gammaproteobacteria; Enterobacterales; Enterobacteriaceae.
CUAGCUGGUCUGAGAGGAUGACCAGCCACACUGGAACUGAGACACGGUCCAGACUCCUACGGGAGGCAGCAGUGGGGAAUAUUGCACAAUGGGCGCAAGCCUGAUGCAGCCAUGCCGCGUGUAUGAAGAAGGCCUUCGGGUUGUAAAGUACUUUCAGCGGGGAGGAAGGGAGUAAAGUUAAUACCUUUGCUCAUUGACGUUACCCGCAGAAGAAGCACCGGCUAACUCCGUGCCAGCAGCCGCGGUAAUACGGAGGGUGCAAGCGUUAAUCGGAAUUACUGGGCGUAAAGCGCACGCAGGCGGUUUGUUAAGUCAGAUGUGAAAUCCCCGGGCUCAACCUGGGAACUGCAUCUGAUACUGGCAAGCUUGAGUCUCGUAGAGGGGGGUAGAAUUCCAGGUGUAGCGGUGAAAUGCG